Molecule: ribosomal RNA, 472 nt
Filed under: uncultured organism
Description: partial 16S ribosomal RNA
Rfam family: Bacterial small subunit ribosomal RNA
Source: RNAcentral
UACACUCCUACGGGAGGCAGCAGUGGGGAAUAUUGCACAAUGGGCGCAAGCCUGAUGCAGCCAUGCCGCGUGUAUGAAGAAGGCCUUCGGGUUGUAAAGUACUUUCAGCGGGGAGGAAGGGAGUAAAGUUAAUACCUUUGCUCAUUGACGUUACCCGCAGAAGAAGCACCGGCUAACUCCGUGCCAGCAGCCGCGGUAAUACGGAGGGUGCAAGCGUUAAUCGGAAUUACUGGGCGUAAAGCGCACGCAGGCGGUUUGUUAAGUCAGAUGUGAAAUCCCCGGGCUCAACCUGGGAACUGCAUCUGAUACUGGCAAGCUUGAGUCUCGUAGAGGGGGGUAGAAUUCCAGGUGUAGCGGUGAAAUGCGUAGAGAUCUGGAGGAAUACCGGUGGCGAAGGCGGCCCCCUGGACGAAGACUGACGCUCAGGUGCGAAAGCGUGGGGAGCAAACAGGAUUAGAAACCCCAGUAGUCC